GAGGUAUGUCACUCUGCACUAUUUUUAUGCAAAAAUUGUACCUGUCAUGCAGUAGUCUGUGAUCUGUAGAUUCUAAACCCUACACCCGAUUUUCCUUACAAUUUUUAAACGCCAUAAUAUCUCCAUAUUCUAAACUGGUAAUCUUUUUUACAUGUAAGAUAUUUUGUGACCCAUUAAAAAUAUAAUUCUUCCUUUCAUGCAGACUAGAGACCAUGCUGUAACCACAGACCUUUGGACAGAGGAAAGGACCAACACACACUACAUCACUGUUACAGUGCAUUACAUCCUUGACUGGAAGAUGGUAAACCGGAUUCUGGCCACAAGAGAGAUGGAAGGUGUUAAAUCCAGUGACCACAUCAGAAGGACUGUGGAGGGAAUCCUUCAGGAAUUUGGCAUCCUGAGCAACGACACCGCUUUUGUAACGGAUAAUGGCUCAAAUGUGGUUGCAGCACUCAAGGAUUAUGUCCGACUCUCCUGUGCCGGCCAUAAUAUCAACUUAAUCUUAAAACAUGUAUUUGACCACUUGGACGAGGACAACCCAGUGCACAGCAGCAUCAUCAAGCUGUUUAAGGACACAAAGACCCUUGUGUCACACACUUCAAAAGAGCAGGGUUGCAAAAAGCACUGGACCAGUCACUGAAGCAAUCUGUGGAGACGAGGUGGAAUACCAGACUAGCAAUGCUCCAAUCUGUUAAUGAUGCUCUGAGAUCUGGGAAGCUGCAUGACAUCCUGCUUCACCGAAACGAGCUCCGUUACCUCAACAACAUAGACUGCGAACUUCUUGAAGACAUCAUCCAACUCCUGAAACCUUUCGAAGAGGCUACCAGACAUCUCUCCACUGAUCAGACACCUACCCUUCACCUUGUCCUCCCGACCAAGGCUACUCUACUGAGGGGUUUGUCGAUCCAGGAUGGAGACAGUGUGAUUGUAAAAGAGGUCCACCCCCAGAGCAAGGAGCUAUGGAGGUGCAUAACUUCUUUGCAAGUUGUGUAGAAGAGGAGGAGAGGAAGGAGGACAGUGGUGAUAUGGAGUCACAGGGUCGCCAGUUGGUGCUGCAAUACAUGAGUGACACUAAGUUGACACGUUUCCAGUCUCUUCUUGACUUUUGGCGGGAGAUGUCAGGUGGGCUCGUACUAGUUGCCAAGAGGCUGCUAGCUAUCCCCGCAACAAGUACUCCUUCUGAGCGUAGCUUCAGUGUUGCGGGAAGACUGAUAGAGGAGAGGCGUUCUACCCUCAAUCCAGAAAAUGUAGAUGCACUUUUGUUCCUGCACAGCAACAUAUAACUAAGAUGGACUCAUUAUGCAAGAGCAUAAUG
Molecule: non-coding RNA, 1315 nt
Organism: Paramormyrops kingsleyae
Lineage: Eukaryota; Metazoa; Chordata; Actinopteri; Osteoglossiformes; Mormyridae
Source: RefSeq, a predicted model, not a curated record